AUGUGAAAUUUCUGGAGAUCUUGUUAAAAAUGCAGAUUCAGAAGAUAUGAGGUGGAACCUGGGAGUCUGCAUUUAUAAUAAGUUCCCAGGUGAUAUUAUC
This 100-nucleotide microRNA precursor is filed under the name Marmota monax (woodchuck). Lineage: Eukaryota; Metazoa; Chordata; Mammalia; Rodentia; Sciuridae. The record is from RNAcentral.